AUCCAGUUGACAAGUCCCAGAUAAGACGAAACGCGCGUCCAGUAU
Molecule: non-coding RNA, 45 nt
Filed under: Schistosoma curassoni
Lineage: Eukaryota; Metazoa; Platyhelminthes; Trematoda; Strigeidida; Schistosomatidae
Source: RNAcentral